AGGUCAACAUCAGGUAUGGAGAUCUUGGGAGCUUUGAUAUUUAUUUCAGGCAUCUUGAACUUGGGGCCCUUCAGUUUUGCGUCUGGACCUUCGAUAUUCACAUCUGGAAUAUCAACGUCCACCUUGGGUCCCGAGACAUCGAUGUCGGCCUUGGGCAGGCUCACAUCCACAUCUGGACCUUCUCCUUUGAAGCCAGGCAUGCUGAAUUUGGGCAUUUUCACCUUGGGCAUCUUCAGGUGCCAGUCUGGGCCUUGAACGUCCACAUCUGGGACAUCAAUGUCCACUUUGGGGUCCCUGAUGUCAACUUCGGGGCCCUUGAGGUCGCCUUCCACUUUGGGCAGAGAAAUGUCCAUGUCGCCCUUCACCUUUGGACCUUUCAGAUUCAGGUCAACUUCAGGCAUAGAGAUCUUCGGUGCCUUGAGGUGCAGGUCAGGCAUUUUAAAUUUGGGGCCCUUCAGUUUCCCUUCUGGACCAUGAAUAUCAAUAUCAGGAGUGUCAAUGUCCACUUUGGGUCCUGAGACAUCAAUGUCAGCUUUGGGCAAAUUAACAUCCACUUCUGGGCCCUCUCCUUUAAAUCCUGGCAUGCUGAAUUUGGGCAUUUUCACCUUGGGCAUCUUCAGGUGCCAGUCUGGGCCAUGAACAUCCACAUCUGGGGCAUCAAUGUCCAUUUUGGGUCCUUUGAUGUCAACAUCUGGCACUUUCAUUUCACCUUCUACCUUGGGCACAGACACAUCCAUAUCCCCUUUGACUUUGGGGCCUUUCAGGUGUAAGUCCACAUCAGGCAUGGAGAUCUUGGGGGCCUUGAAGUGCAUCUCAGGCAUCUUAAACUUGGGCCCUUUCAACUUUGCAUCAGGACACUCCAGAU
Molecule: long non-coding RNA, 865 nt
Filed under: Homo sapiens (human)
Lineage: Eukaryota; Metazoa; Chordata; Mammalia; Primates; Hominidae
Description: HSALNT0176022
Source: RNAcentral